CUUAUUGGCUGGAAAGGAAGAAGCAUUCUUUCAUUGGUUGGUGUGUAUUGCCUUGUCAACCAAUAAGAGGAUGCCAUUUAUCCUUUUCUGACUAGCUGAGUGAGCAGGGUG
Macaca mulatta (Rhesus monkey) is the source of this 111-nucleotide non-coding RNA. RefSeq annotates it as microRNA mir-1179. The record is from RefSeq and is marked provisional. Lineage: Eukaryota; Metazoa; Chordata; Mammalia; Primates; Cercopithecidae.